GCACCCUCCUCAACUCGAGGCGGCGGGUGUUAGCUGGUGAGCUAGCCGAGGGGGGACUCUAACCAGCCGGGGAGCGGGGUGAGAGGCAGAGGAAACAGAGCCUGCUGUCGGGGACAGCGACACUGAAGGAGACAACGAUCCACCUGCAUGGGUAAUGAACGUGUGGUCAGUAAUGUUGGAUGAGACACAUAACAGAGAGAUGCGGGAAGUGGCCUGGGGAGUGUCACAGGACCAGUUAGAGGACACAAACAACCAUACACCUCCUCAUGAUGUCCCUGCUCGAGAAUGGUCUCUGUUGGUAAACUGGACUGGAUUUCACGCGUAGCAGCAUCCAAUUGAACCCCAUGUCGAACUGGCUGCUCCCAUAAACCACCAGCAGCAAAGUGUCCUGCAGUCAGGCCUCAAGUUCCACCAGGCAGAGCCUGACAACCACACACAGUUCAACAAUGUGCCAACAGCGAUGCACACCAGUCACCUGGACGUGAGGCUGGCUCCUGUUGGAUUAUUCAAAGGAAAGAUGAUUUACGGAGCUUCAGGAGACAGAGUUCCUUCUCCAGUGAACGUCCACAACUCAAAAGAGGAAACAUGAGAGCCAGCAGGAUGAUGAGAGGCCUUACAUCCCGAAGCCACCCAAUGCCUUCAUGCUUUUCAUGAAGGAGCAGAGGCCGUAUGUUCUGGCCACCCACAAAUCCCUUGACUCUGCAACUGUCAGCAUGAUCAUUGGAAAGAAGUGGAGGGCGCUGUCAGAAAACAAGCGGGAUAAAUAUUAUAAAGAAGCAAAGAGGCUGAAGCAGCUUCACAUCCAGCUCUACCCGGAUUGGUCAGAAAAGUAAAAAUUAUGGCCAAAUGCGGAAAAGGGUCAGGCAGAGCGGCCCCAGGGACGACUGAAGCAUGUUCCUCACUGCAUGAUGAGUCCAUAGGACACUUCUAACUGAACAGUUUGAGCCCUCCUCCCCUCACUGCACAUAUUCCCCUGAUGACUCGUCUUCUUUUUUUACCUUUUAAUGUCAUAUUGUAUAUCUCUGUGCAUCUUAAUAAAAAAUUAAAUUAU
This is a long non-coding RNA of Pleuronectes platessa (European plaice), 1051 nucleotides long. RefSeq lists it as uncharacterized. The transcript has 8 exons. NCBI's taxonomy places the organism in Eukaryota, Metazoa, Chordata, Actinopteri, Pleuronectiformes, Pleuronectidae. The record is from RefSeq and is a predicted model, not a curated record.